UGGGUAAUACCAAAAAAAGAACUACAUAAC
Molecule: non-coding RNA, 30 nt
Filed under: Rattus norvegicus (Norway rat)
Lineage: Eukaryota; Metazoa; Chordata; Mammalia; Rodentia; Muridae
Source: RNAcentral